This 494-nucleotide ribosomal RNA is filed under the name uncultured Glomus. Its description in RNAcentral is "SSU rRNA". It matches the Rfam family "Eukaryotic small subunit ribosomal RNA", at positions 569 to 1068 of the family's 1831-position model. Lineage: Eukaryota; Fungi; Glomeromycota; Glomeromycetes; Glomerales; Glomeraceae. The record is from RNAcentral.
AGCAGCCGCGGUAAUUCCAGCUCCAAUAGCGUAUAUUAAAGUUGUUGCAGUUAAAAAGCUCGUAGUUGAAUUUCGGGAUCAGUUCGCUGGUCGUGCCUCUGGUAUGUACUGGUGUUACUGGUUCCUCCCUUCUGACGAACUGUCAUGUCAUUAAUUUGGUGUGGCGGGGAAUCAGGACUGUUACUUUGAAAAAUUAGAGUGUUUAAAGCAGGCUCGCGCUUGAAUACAUUAGCAUGGAAUAAUGAAAUAGGACGUUCGAUCCUAUUUUGUUGGUUUCUAGGAUUGACGUAAUGAUUAAUAGGGAUAGUUGGGGGCAUUAGUAUUCAAUUGUCAGAGGUGAAAUUCUUGGAUUUAUUGAAGACUAACUACUGCGAAAGCAUUUGCCAAGGAUGUUUUCAUUAAUCAAGAACGAAAGUUAGGGGAUCGAAGACGAUCAGAUACCGUCGUAGUCUUAACCAUAAACUAUGCCGACUAGGGAUCGGGAUGGAUGUUAA